Long non-coding RNA from Cervus elaphus (red deer), 713 nucleotides. RefSeq lists it as uncharacterized. The record is from RefSeq and is a predicted model, not a curated record. The transcript has 3 exons. Lineage: Eukaryota; Metazoa; Chordata; Mammalia; Artiodactyla; Cervidae.
ACACACAUACACACACACAGAUGGCAGCUGUUUUCAGAAAGCAGUCAAGUGAGCACCACACAAGACCCAGGGCAGACCUGCCUCCUAGGGCCUAGAGACCCAGGCCUCCUAGGCAGGACCACAGCCUCAGGGCCUGGGUGGUUCCAGCCUUGGAUCAGGCUUCCCACCCCUCCCCCUCUUGGCCCCACCCACCUGCUUCCCCCAGGGUCAGAAGAAGGGAAGUCCCCACCCCCAGCUCCCGCUGAGUCAGGCCCGCCAGGAACAGACCCAGGCGACCUAGCUCCUGGCGGGAAGUUCUAGCAGCCUGGCCUGGCUAAGUCACAGCUCUCAUGCCCAGGACCCAGCCUAGCACUGGGGUGACCUAAGUCGAGAUGUGGAACCCUCCCCCCAAGCUGCCCGGAGGAGGAGGUGAUAUGCCUGAGAGCAGAUUGUUUACCGUCUGAGCCACCAGGGAAGCCCACUACGCUGGAGCAGGUAUCCCCAAAGGAGGGGAUCCGGAGCAGCUGACCUCUCAUCCCAACAGGUCCUCAAACCAAGACUUGGUCCUCUACCCGCCCGCCCACCGCCGCUGCUGCCCCAGAGCACAGCCCACUCUGCUUCCUCCCACCCCCUCUACCUCUGCACAAGCACCCAGCCUCCCAGGGAAGCCCAGCAAGUUUCCCCACCCUCUGCCUUAUCUCCCAAGACCCCAUCGCCGCCCCCGUCCAGCUCCG